RNAcentral lists this ribosomal RNA (496 nucleotides) under uncultured bacterium. Its description in RNAcentral is "partial 16S ribosomal RNA". It matches the Rfam family "Bacterial small subunit ribosomal RNA", at positions 30 to 523 of the family's 1533-position model. The record is from RNAcentral.
UUGAACGCUGGCGGCAGCCCUAACACAUGCAAGUCGAGCGCGAAAGGUUUUCGGACUGAGUAAAGCGGCGGACGGGUGAGUAACGCGUGGGAAUCUGCCCAGUAGUGGGGGACAACAGUCGGAAACGACUGCUAAUACCGCAUACGCCCUACGGGGGAAAGGGGGGGAUCUUCGGACCUCUCGCUAUGGGAUGAGCCCGCGUCGGAUUAGCUGGUUGGUAGGGUAAAGGCCUACCAAGGCUACGAUCCGUUACUGGUCUGAGAGGUUGAUCAGUCACACAGGAACUGAGACACGGGCCCGACGCCUACGGGAGGCAGCAGUGGGGAAUAUUGGACAAUGGGGGCAACCCUGAUCCAGCCAUGCCGCGUGUGUGAAGAAGGCCUUAGGGUUGUAAAGCACUUUCAGUGGGGAGAAAGGUUUGUCACCUAAUACGUGAUGAAAUUGAUGUUACCCACAGAAGAAGCACCGGCUAACUCCGUGCCAGCCGCCGCAGUAA